UUAUAGCCCGGAUUGAAACGGCAUCCUUUUGCGCAGCGCAGCGGAGCAAAAGAUAGAGUGGAAAGCCGGUGUGGUU
Non-coding RNA from Flavobacteriaceae bacterium JJC, 76 nucleotides. Lineage: Bacteria; Pseudomonadati; Bacteroidota; Flavobacteriia; Flavobacteriales; Flavobacteriaceae. The record is from Rfam.